Molecule: ribosomal RNA, 203 nt
Filed under: Achromobacter insolitus
Lineage: Bacteria; Pseudomonadati; Pseudomonadota; Betaproteobacteria; Burkholderiales; Alcaligenaceae
Description: partial 16S ribosomal RNA
Rfam family: Bacterial small subunit ribosomal RNA
Source: RNAcentral
AGAUUAAACUGAAGAGUUUGAUCCUGGCUCAGAUUGAACGCUAGCGGGAUGCCUUACACAUGCAAGUCGAACGGCAGCACGGACUUCGGUCUGGUGGCGAGUGGCGAACGGGUGAGUAAUGUAUCGGAACGUGCCCAGUAGCGGGGGAUAACUACGCGAAAGCGUAGCUAAUACCGCAUACGCCCUACGGGGGAAAGCAGGGG